Molecule: long non-coding RNA, 290 nt
Filed under: Bos taurus (domestic cattle)
Lineage: Eukaryota; Metazoa; Chordata; Mammalia; Artiodactyla; Bovidae
Description: long non-coding RNA NONBTAT022118
Source: RNAcentral
GCUGUAGGUACUGAACAGUCUUGAACAUGAAGCAAUUCUAUGUGUCAAAACAGAGAAUGUGUCAAAACAUUUGUUGAUAAGGAAUUUCUAGGAUAAAAUGUAGCUAGAGCUGAAUUACAGAUUAAAUUCUCCAUCCUAUAGGAGUAUCAGCCAAAAUCAUAAAGGUCUCUUUCCAGUCUCUAAUCAGUGUAAAAAUCUAACUUUUAAAAAUCAUAAGGAACAGAUCUAUUUGUAUAUAUUUGAUACAGUAGAGAGGUCAGUAUGAAAUUGUUUUGUCCUGCACACUGCUC